This 312-nucleotide long non-coding RNA is filed under the name Mytilus galloprovincialis (Mediterranean mussel). The record is from RNAcentral. Lineage: Eukaryota; Metazoa; Mollusca; Bivalvia; Mytilida; Mytilidae.
GAACGCCAUACUAAUUUCCAAAUUGUACACAAGAAACUAAAAUUAAAAUAAUACAAGACUAACAAAGGCCAGAGGCUCCUGACUUGGGACAGGCGCAAAAAUGCGGCGGGGUUAAACAUGUUUGUGAGAUCUCAAUCCUCCCCCUAUACCUCUAGCCAAUGUAGAAAAGUAAACGCAUAACAAUACGCACAUUAAAAUUCAGUCCAAGAGAAGUCCGAGUCUGAUGUCAGAAGAUGUAACCAAAGAAAAUAAACAAAAUGACAAUAAUACAUAAAUAACAACAGACUACUAGCAGUUAACUGACAUGCCAGC